Long non-coding RNA from Dendroctonus ponderosae (mountain pine beetle), 451 nucleotides. RefSeq lists it as uncharacterized. The transcript is spliced from 2 exons. The record is from RefSeq and is a predicted model, not a curated record. Lineage: Eukaryota; Metazoa; Arthropoda; Insecta; Coleoptera; Curculionidae.
UUGCUUGGAAGCUAGACUGUGACCUACAAAAGCUGGUAGACGAAUUUAGUAUACAACCUGCUAAAUUCACGUCCUUUUUGUUUGAAAACUACUUAAAAUACUUUGGUGCUUUGGGUGAUGCUCAAAAAACAGCCGAUAUUUUAAGCUUUUCAUUGGGUCUUUUAGAAAACUGGGAAAACCAUGAACUCCUACUGAUGGCUCUUUGGACAGCAGUUUCAGGUGUUAUGAUAUUCAAUGAACAUAAAGUUAGUAAAUGGAAUCAAAUUAAAGCACCUAGAAAAAUUGAAAGAAGAAUAAAAAGUAUUGAAGAGGGUCCUAGACUGCAUCCCACUGAUGGCUUCUAUUACAACAUACUAACGAAAUCAAGUAAAUACCCCGUGUUUAAGUAAAACUGUAAUUAUUAAUAUAUAUUUAUAAGAAUAAAUCUUAUCAAAUACAAACGCCAAAAAAA